GAGCGAACGGGGAGGAGCCUGGCGUGAUUUAUUAUUGAAUUGAGUAGAACAACUUGGGAAGGUUGGCCAUAGAGGGUGAAAGCCCCGUAUACGAAGGUUUGAUGAGGAACUAGGCACGCGAGCAAGUAGGCCGGGACACGUGAAAUCCUGGUUGAAGAUGGGUGGACCAUCAUCCAAGGCUAAAUACUACUUACUGACCGAUAGUGAACCAGUACCGUGAGGGAAAGGUGAAAAGAACCCCGGAGAGGGGAGUGAAAUAGAAUCUGAAACCGUUUGCGUACAAGCAGUGGGAGCAUGGUUUAGGCUGUGUGACUGCGUACCUUUUGUAUAAUGGGUCAGCGAGUUACUUUCAGUGGCGAGGUUAACUGCAUAAGGGAGCCGUAGAGAAAUCGAGUCUGAAUAGGGCGAUAGUCGCUGGGAGUAGACCCGAAACCGGGCGAUCUAGCCAUGUGCAGGAUGAAGGUUGGGUAACACCAACUGGAGGUCCGAACCGGGUAAUGUUGAAAAAUUAUCGGAUGACGUGUGGCUAGGAGUGAAAGGCUAAUCAAGCCCGGAGAUAGCUGGUUCUCCCCGAAAGCUAUUUAGGUAGCGCCUCGUGAAUGAUUACUGGGGGUAGAGCACUGUUUCGGCUAGGGGGCUGUCAUGGCUUACCAAACCGAUGCAA
Molecule: ribosomal RNA, 664 nt
Filed under: Legionella pneumophila
Lineage: Bacteria; Pseudomonadati; Pseudomonadota; Gammaproteobacteria; Legionellales; Legionellaceae
Description: partial 23S ribosomal RNA
Rfam family: Bacterial large subunit ribosomal RNA
Source: RNAcentral